This 893-nucleotide ribosomal RNA is filed under the name unidentified eubacterium RFLP1. RNAcentral's name for it is "bacterial SSU rRNA". It matches the Rfam family "Bacterial small subunit ribosomal RNA", at positions 509 to 1397 of the family's 1533-position model. The record is from RNAcentral.
CAGCAGCCGCGGUAAUACGUAGGGGGCGAGCGUUACCCGGAAUCACUGGGCGUAAAGGGAGCGUAGGUGGCCUGACAUGUCAACUGUGAAAACCCGGAGCUCAACUCCGGACUUGCAGUUGAAACUGCCAGGCUUGAGGACGGUAGAGGAAGACGGAACUGCCAGUGUAGGGGUAAAAUCCUUAGAUAUUGGCAGGAACGCCGGUGACGAAGGUGGUUUUCUGGGCCGGUUCUGACACUGAUGCUCGAAAGCCAGGGGAGCGAACGGGAUUAGAUACCCCGGUAGUCCUGGCCCUAAACGAUGUUCACUAGGUGUGGGGAGCGGAAAGCUUUCCGUGCUAAAGCUAACGCGAUAAGUGAACCGCCUGGGGAGUACGCCCGCAAGGGUGAAACUCAAAGGAAUUGACGGGGGCCCGCACAAGCGGUGGAACGUGUGGUUUAAUUCGAUGCUAAGCGAAGGACCUUACCAAGGUUUGACAUGCUGAUAGUAGUGAAUUGAAAGAGGAACGACCACACUUUGUGUGGAGUCAGCACAGGUGGUGCACGGCCGUCGUCAGCUCGUGCCGUGAGGUGUUGGGUUAAGUCCCGCAACGAGCGCAACCCCUGNUCUUAGUUGCCAGCGGUAAGGCCGGGCACUCUAGGAGGACCGCCGCCGACGAGGCGGAGGAAGGGGGGGAUGACGUCAGGUAUCGUGCCCCUUAUAUCUUGGGCGACACACGCGCUACAAUGGGUUGGACAGAAGGGACCGAGACAGCAAUGUGGAGGAAAUCCUCAAACCAACCCCCAGUUCAGAUUGCAGGCUGCAACCCGCCUGCAUGAAGCCGGAAUCGCUAGUAAUCGCAGAUCAGCCAAGCUGCGGUGAAUACGUUCCCGGGCCUUGUACACACCGCCCGU